UACGUAGGGGGCGAGCGUUGUCCGGAUUUACUGGGCGUAAAGGGCGCGUAGGCGGCAAUUCAAGUCAUCUGUGAAAUCUCCGGGCUUAACUCGGAACGGUCAGAUGAUACUGCUUUGCUCGAGUGCGGAAGGGGCAAUCGGAAUUCUUGGUGUAGCGGUGAAAUGCGUAGAUAUCAAGAGGAACACCUGAGGUGAAGACGGGUUGCUGGGCCGACACUGACGCUGAAGCGCGAAAGCCAGGGGAGCAAACGGG
Molecule: ribosomal RNA, 253 nt
Filed under: uncultured bacterium
Lineage: Bacteria
Description: partial 16S ribosomal RNA
Rfam family: Bacterial small subunit ribosomal RNA
Source: RNAcentral